Triticum dicoccoides is the source of this 2414-nucleotide long non-coding RNA. RefSeq lists it as uncharacterized. The record is from RefSeq and is a predicted model, not a curated record. NCBI's taxonomy places the organism in Eukaryota, Viridiplantae, Streptophyta, Magnoliopsida, Poales, Poaceae. The transcript has 5 exons.
UUUUUCACGUCCGUGCCUGCUUCAGGAGUGGAUGAUGGGUGGGCCUUGUUGGGCAUGGGGGCCAAAUAUUGAGGUGGAGUUGGCUACCGUUUUGGUGCAAAUGGAUUUCGUCUACGGAUGAACACCUAGGUUUCGCACCAACGCAAGCGAUCUCCUCCUCCUCCCUUUCCCAUUCGUCCUCCUUGCUAGCCGCCGCCGCCUCCCCUCCUUCCACCUCCUCCUCCUCCCCUCUCUCGCCAGUGCCGCCUGGCCGCUGCUGCCUUCUCCUUGGUGCUCAAGGGGACGAGCACGAGAGGUCGCCACACUGCACUACCUCGUCCAUGGUGGGUGCUGAGGACCUACAGAUCUCUCUCUCCCUGCUACCUCUUUCCCCGACCCCUCUGCCUCCCCCACCAUGAGAGAUAGGGAGAGGGAUGGACAAAUAGGAGACGGGGGCAAGAGGAGAAGAGGAAGGUGACGGGGCAGGAGGAGAAGAGGAAGGAGAGGGUCUGUGCGCGCGUGGCCAUUGGCUGGCCGGGCUCAGCUCUUGCAGGCAGCCACACCCUUCUUUUCUUCCUGAUUUGCAUUCUCCCCCCUCUCUUCCAUUUCUCGCAUUUGGUUUAAUCCCUAGAAUUUAUGGUUUUUAUCUGUGCAGAUUCUUUUGUGUAUAUGCCUACAAGGUGUUUGGUGAAAAUCCAAGCAGCCCCUUGAUUUCGUUUCUUACAGAUAUUUCUAUGGGUUUCUCCAUUAGUAUGCUUCUCCUCAACUACCAUAUCAAUCUGGCAGCCAUUGGCACAUGUGACCUAGGUUGAGGAAUUUGUUCCACAUCUCCUUGUACCAAGAGCGGAUCUGCGCCCCACCUCUCCAGUGUUGGCUCACUGGCCACCACGGAUCCUAGCUGUCCUUGGGACGCCAUCAACAGGUGUGGUAUAAUGCUGUUACUUGCUGGUGAUGUUGUUUCUGUGCUGCCUAUGGAGUGACAAUAACGACAUUCAAUUAUGAUGCGUUUGACCGUAACACAAAGAUUAAGGAAAUUAAUGACCAUUGGUCGAUUGACGACUUGAAAAGAAGCAUGGAGGCAACAAAUGGGGUAUUAUUUUGAUCUCAUCUCACACAUUCAAUUACUCUUUGCCCUACUAUAUGGCUUUUUAUUAGUUAUUUACACAUACUCGAUGCAUUGCAAAAUGACUGUUUCUGGAAAUCGCCAUAUCCCGUAUCCCCUUAACAGUGUUGUCGUAUCUGUCGCUUUAUCAGUGCUUCAUUGGUCUAGGUAACAGUGUGUAGAUUUCCUUUAUUUUGCGCAUAUUCUCUUCAAUCAGAGUUGUUACUUUUUGUGCUUGGUGUUUUAUUCCAGCCAGAUGCAAGCGGCAAAAGGCGACUAGGAUUAGCCAUCGAUGCUGGUCUUCAUGUCCAAAUCCUGGUCUUUGUUGGUGUGUACAUGAGAUGGAGGAAAUCAUGUUCUUAAGAGAGCGAGAUGUGGAAGGCUAUGCUGUUGAAAAUGACAUCAGGGGACAUGUAUAUUGAACAUGUGUUGAUCCACUAAUGGCAAAUCAGCUACCAGCUGGCUAUCAAGACUUUGCUUAGGUGUUAUUAGCCGCUACAUCCUCCGCUUCAUUGAGCCUCGACCCCCCACUCUUCUGAGGUUUCGUCAGAACACGACAACUGUUCGUCACCUAAAAGGACAGGGUGACACCAAAGGAGUUAUGAUAGCAUCACUUAGGGCAAGGCCAAUGGGCUGCCUCAAACCUGCUGCCCCAUUGUCCACCUAGGUUCGGAUGCCACGCUGUAGAAAAAGUGGUAGCCCUGCAGGUCCUGGUGUGGCUUGCAGAAGAGCCGGCUGCUCCAUGCGAGAAACCAAGAGAAAGUGGGGAGAGAGGAAAAGUAGAGGGAACGCAAGCUGGAGAUGGUCCUAGGAGGUGAAAAAAGAGAUGAGAAUCAGAAAGGAAAGAAGAUGAUGGUGGGUUCCACAGAAGGGUAGCUUCACGUUUAACGUUGGAUGAUAAAAAUCUAAUCGGUAGCCUCAUUUCCUUGACCAUAGGUGGCUGAGCUGGGGCAGCACCUAGGUGCUGCUACUAUUGUACAUGCCCUUAUAGGCAUUGAGGAAUUGGCAAAGAGAUUACGCUUCAUAGGUAUGAAGUUAGAACAAUGGCUGGAAACUAUGAAAGACCGUUUCUAAUUACUUUUGUUGGAUCUGUCUUACCUACAAUGCGUGUGUGACCCCUCGAGAAGCCACUUUUUGUUUCCUCUGCAGUAUACUCCAUGUUUAGUUCCAAUGAUGCCCUAACCCUUUUGUUCCUGCUCUGAAGAAUAAGACAUGUAUAGGCUUCAUAUUUUUGUAAUAAUCUAUGUGCUAAACAUCCCUUUGUGGUCAUGUGUUUUAUAUGUAAUCAAGUAUCUAUCCGUGAUGAUAUAUAUGCCCAGCUAAUGUUUGAAAA